This 580-nucleotide ribosomal RNA is filed under the name uncultured bacterium. RNAcentral's name for it is "bacterial SSU rRNA". It matches the Rfam family "Bacterial small subunit ribosomal RNA", at positions 731 to 1312 of the family's 1533-position model. The record is from RNAcentral.
GGGAUANCACUGACGUUCAUGCCCGAAAGCGUGGGUAGCAAACAGGAUUAGAUACCCUGGUAGUCCACGCCCUAAACGAUGUCGAUUAGCUGUUGGGCAGCAUGACUGCUUAGUAGCGAAGCUAACGCGUGAAAUCGACCGCCUGGGGAGUACGGUCGCAAGGUUAAAACUCAAAGGAAUUGACGGGGACCCGCACAAGCGGUGGAUGAUGUGGAUUAAUUCGAUGCAACGCGAAGAACCUUACCUGGUCUUGACAUGUACGGAAUCCUCCAGAGACGGAGGAGUGCCUUCGGGAGCCGUAACACAGGUGCUGCAUGGCUGUCGUCAGCUCGUGUCGUGAGAUGUUGGGUUAAGUCCCGCAACGAGCGCAACCCUUGUCAUUAGUUGCCAUCAUUAAGUUGGGCACUCUAAUGAGACUGCCGGUGACAAGCCGGAGGAAGGUGGGGAUGACGUCAAGUCCUCAUGGCCCUUAUGACCAGGGCUUCACACGUCAUACAAUGGUCGGUACAGAGGGUAGCCAAGCCGCGAGGCGGAGCCAAUCUCACAAAACCGAUCGUAGUCCGGAUUGCACUCUGCAACU